RNAcentral lists this microRNA precursor (91 nucleotides) under Cajanus cajan (pigeon pea). RNAcentral describes it as "miRNA gene-KK1_040729". The record is from RNAcentral. Lineage: Eukaryota; Viridiplantae; Streptophyta; Magnoliopsida; Fabales; Fabaceae.
UUGAACUUUUAAGAUCGGUUAUGGUAAUAGCCGAUCUUAAAAACGAGACUUUUAAGAUCGGCUAUUACCAUGACCGAUCUUAAAAGUCCAG